UACGGAAGGUCCAGGCGUUAUCCGGAUUUAUUGGGUUUAAAGGGAGCGUAGGCCGUCUGUUAAGCGUGUUGUGAAAUGUAGAUGCUCAACAUCUGAAUUGCAGCGCGAACUGGCAGACUUGAGUGUGCGCAACGUAGGCGGAAUUCGUGGUGUAGCGGUGAAAUGCUUAGAUAUCACGAAGAACUCCAAUUGCGAAGGCAGCUUACGGGAGCACAACUGACGCUGAAGCUCGAAAGUGCGGGUAUCGAAC
RNAcentral lists this ribosomal RNA (250 nucleotides) under uncultured bacterium. RNAcentral describes it as "partial 16S ribosomal RNA". It matches the Rfam family "Bacterial small subunit ribosomal RNA", at positions 524 to 773 of the family's 1533-position model. The record is from RNAcentral.